RNAcentral lists this ribosomal RNA (336 nucleotides) under Triticum aestivum (bread wheat). Its description in RNAcentral is "partial small subunit ribosomal RNA". The record is from RNAcentral. Lineage: Eukaryota; Viridiplantae; Streptophyta; Magnoliopsida; Poales; Poaceae.
AUGAUUAGUAUACAGUCUGACCAAUGUUUUAAUCAAUCUCCGUGCCUAACUGAAGUGCAGUGCGAAUUUUGUGCUAAUUGUUCUGCAAAUCAGCGAGGGAAUGUUGGAAGCAGGAAUUCCUUCAGGGAGUUCUGUGCUAAUUGCUCUGCAAAUCAGCGAGCAAAUGUUGGAAGCAGGAAUCCCUUCAGAGUUCCAAGGAAAUGCCUGUUUUGCUCUUCCAAAUUAGAGCCAAACAGAGUGUUGUGUAACUAUGGACGAAGGGCGUAUACAUUUAUGGCUACUUUCGCGUGGUUCCAUCGGCCUAACAGUAACUGCAAUCCUUUUUUUUUGAAAUAG